GCCCCCGUGACGCAAUCGGUAGCGUGCAAGCCUUCUAAGCUUGAAGUUGCGAGUUCGAGCCUCGCCGGGGGCU
Aspergillus aculeatus ATCC 16872 is the source of this 73-nucleotide transfer RNA. It matches the Rfam family "tRNA". Rfam says of the family: Transfer RNA (tRNA) molecules are approximately 80 nucleotides in length. The record is from Rfam. Lineage: Eukaryota; Fungi; Ascomycota; Eurotiomycetes; Eurotiales; Aspergillaceae.